RNAcentral lists this ribosomal RNA (253 nucleotides) under uncultured bacterium. Its description in RNAcentral is "partial 16S ribosomal RNA". It matches the Rfam family "Bacterial small subunit ribosomal RNA", at positions 524 to 776 of the family's 1533-position model. The record is from RNAcentral.
UACGGGGGGGGCAAGCGUUGUUCGGAAUUACUGGGCGUAAAGGGCUGGUAGGCGGCCAACUAAGUCGGAUGUGAAAUCCCCAGGCUUAACCUGGGAACUGCAUCCGAUACUGGUCGGCUUGAAUCCGGGAGAGGGGUGCAGAAUUCCAGGUGUAGCGGUGAAAUGCGUAGAUAUCUGGAGGAAUACCGGUGGCGAAGGCGGCAUCCUGGACCGGCAUUGACGCUGAGGAGCGAAAGCUAGGGGAGCAAACGGG